Molecule: ribosomal RNA, 430 nt
Filed under: uncultured bacterium
Lineage: Bacteria
Description: bacterial SSU rRNA
Rfam family: Bacterial small subunit ribosomal RNA
Source: RNAcentral
UCGAGAGGCUUCGGCAAUGGGGGAAACCCUGACCGAGCGACGCCGCGUGGAGGAUGAAGGCCCCUGGGUUGUAAACUCCUUUUGCUGGGGAAGAAAUGCGAUCAGGUGAACAAUCUGGUCGUUUGACGGUACCCGGCGAAUAAGCUCCGGCUAACUCCGUGCCAGCAGCCGCGGUAACACGGGGGGAGCAAGCGUUGUUCGGAAUCACUGGGCGUAAAGGGCGUGUAGGCGGUCAAGUAAGUGGGGUGUGAAAUCCCUCGGCUCACCCGAGGACCUGCAUCCCAAACUGCUUGGCUUGAGUAUGGGAGAGGAUGAGGGAAUUCCUGGUGUAGCGGUGAAAUGCGUAGAUAUCAGGAGGAACACCGGUGGCGAAAGCGCUCAUCUGGCCCAAUACUGACGCUGAGGCGCGAAAGCUAGGGGAGCAAACGGG